Molecule: long non-coding RNA, 2704 nt
Organism: Lynx canadensis (Canada lynx)
Lineage: Eukaryota; Metazoa; Chordata; Mammalia; Carnivora; Felidae
Exons: 2
Source: RefSeq, a predicted model, not a curated record
CUUUCUCUGCCUCUCUCUGCCACUCCCCUCCUCAAAAUAAACCCAAAACAAAACAACAAAAAAAAACCAAUUCCUAAUCAUUUAAUUCAUUCUUAGAUCCCAUUUCAAAAACCUAUUAAUAUCUUUGUGUUAAAUUGGGUAUUCCUUGUGUAAGCCAAGGCUAUUCAUCUCUAUUGUUAUUUGUCACAUUGAUGAACUCUUAUUUUAACUAUUUCAAAGGAUUAGUUUAAGGUGGUUAAUUGUCAUGAGCUAUCAAUGUUUCCUUUUUAAUAUUUUUCUCAUUUUGUGCUUUAGUGACAAAAAUGCUAUGUAUACCUUGCAGAAUCUGUCAACAUUCCAGCCUUGUCCGGUAAUUGAACUGCUCGUGUUCCAUCGAAAUGGCCUUUUAACAGGAAGUUGGAAGAUACUCACUGCCCAGGUCAGUAAUAAUAAGUAGCUGGCCACUUUGUUCUGAAAAAUUUUUAUAAAUUAUUUUAACAUUUUUCCUAGGACCAAUUUUGACAACCUUCCACUUUUCCCGAAAUCUUUCCAUUUUGUUGUUUGUUAAUUUCUGGGCAUCUAGGCUGUGUCAGGAACUGGUAACACAGCAGGAAGGAGGUAGCAGUUUCCUUCUCAGGAGGCUGUCACAGCCUGUCAGUAUCUACAUUCAGUGAUUACCACCUGACACACAUAUUUGAACUUGUAUGUAUAUUUUUUUAAAAAUGAUAUUAUGUGUAUCUGCUUAUCUUUAUACGUGUUAAAGAUACAUAUUUAAGAAAUACACGUAUCUUGGAGACUUUCAUAUCAGUACAUGGAGCUGGCUCAUGCAUUGUUACUGUUGUACAAAGUUCUAUAAUGAAAAUUACAUGUGUUGCUGAAUAUGUGUGUAGUGUUAUUUCCCUGUAUAAGUUUUUAGCUUGCCUUUGAUUUAUUCUGUUUAAUCAAAGUUGGUUUUGAAUUUUUGUCUUUCCAGAAAAUUAGUUCUUGGGUUCUUUUUUUCUUCUCCAUUUGAUUCAUUUAUUUGUGUUGUAUUUAUCUUUUCUGUUUCCUUAGGACUUUGAGUCAAAUGUGUAGUUCAUUUGUUUUCCUUAUUUAAUUAAUAGUGAGGGCAUUUUCAGGUCUUGAAAUUACCCUAGGUAUUAUAUUUGGACACCAGGCAGAACGGUUUCCAGAUAGAAGGAUCAAGAUUACAUGGGUCCUAAUGAGCAAAUACGUGGAGGGUCACAGAAUGUAUUCUUGAAUAAAGGUUUACACAGUGUUACCACACUCUGCUAGGCUGGAUUCCUGCCAAAAUGUUUUGAUAGUCACUCAAGAUUCUAAAUUCUUGACUCACUCCCUAGGAUGUGAGCCUUUCAGAGUUCUUAAUAGCACUAUAUAUCUCAAGAUUGCCCCUCAUCAUCCCUUACCUACCCUCUUGUCUCAAAGCCUGGCCUUGUCUUCAUAGUCUCCUCUUUGAAGACAUCCUCUUGUUUUUUUUACAAUUUCUUCAAUCAUUUAUUCACUCAACAGUUUCCUGAGCUAGAGAUGGAGUCAUUGUCUUAGCAACUGGGGAUAUAUAUGGGAAACUGAAAUAAAGACACCUGCUCUCUUGUUUAAUAUUUGUUCUAGGUGUUCAGUCAGAUGACAGAACAAGUUGGAAAAGACCUCUUUUUCUGUAUUUGUAUACAUAUGUGAUCAAAAUUUUAUUUAGAACUUGCCUUCUGUAUGACUUAUCUGGUAUAAAAAUAGGAUGAGACAUUUCAUUUUUAUUAUUCAGUGUGGUUCUCUCCAGUGUAAGUUUUCUGUUUUGUCGUUCUGUCAAAUAAGGUGGGAGCUAAGGCUAAUGAUUUGCCUGCACGGAUUACAUUGAGGAUCUGCUCUCAUAGGAGUCCUCUGAUGUUGAAUACAAUGAGGACUCCUACUGAAGGGCUUCUUGCCAGUGGGUUCUGUGACUCCUGAAGCCUUCCUAAGACCCGAUUACAUUCUCAUGAUCCUGAGUAAGAGAGCUGUGCUUGAAAGAAACCUUUUCACACGGUCAUAGUCCCUUGGCUUUGGAGUUCUCAUAGCAUGACAGGUUCAUCUGGACCAACUACGCAAGACUGCAGAGGAUUAACCUGAGCAGAUUAACAGCAGCCACUACAGUGAAAGCCCAACAGCACUCAGAAGGCCUGACAUAGCACAGUGAAGCGAGAUCCCUCUUUGUACACUUGCGCCAAAACUCGACUAGACCAAUUCUGCAUCAAGGAAUUCUAAAUGCAAUCAUGCUAACAGGAUUUUCUUAAUGAACCCCUGACAAACUGAUGUCAAGCACUCAUCUUGCAAACCAGGUGGGUGAAAAUAGUUCAUAGUUUGUUUUUUUUGUUUGUUUUUUUUCGGUUUUUUUAGAAAUAAUGAGAGAACUAUCAUUUAUCCAAGUUAUAAAACUACCAUAUGUACAGCAGUAUGUGUACUCAGACUAAGAUCAACGAAGCAGAAGGGACCAAGACCAAAGCCUAUGCCCAAUAAGUACCACGGAAAUUUAGUCUGUAAUAAGGACGGUGUUUCCAAUAAGCAGAAGAAUCUAGUCAAAAUUUGUUGAAAGAACAUAUGCUCCAUACCAUAUACACAAAGAAACUCCAGAUAAGUGCAACAAUCAGACAAAAACAAACAAACAAAAAACCCUGAAAUACAAGAAAGUAUUUAUGAAAUCUGCCUAUCUAUGAAUGGGAUAGGAAUAAAAACAGAUCUGAAAGGAAAAAUACCUAAA